AAAAACCCUAGCAUGUGACCAUGAACCUGGUC
This 32-nucleotide non-coding RNA is filed under the name Mus musculus (house mouse). The record is from RNAcentral. Lineage: Eukaryota; Metazoa; Chordata; Mammalia; Rodentia; Muridae.